UGUGAAAACAAACUUGGCCAAAGAGGAAGAUAUGGAAGUAAAAGAGUUCCUUAAAACGUGUCAGGACAUGACAGGUGAAUAUUACUUCUUUAUUCAUGCAAUACAGCAACAUAAAUGAUCACCGAGUAUGGAACAUACUAAUCCGUAUAUCUAGUCAUUCUGAUAAAUUACUCAGCAUGCCAUUGAAGAUCAUUUUCAUGAAUUGUUCUGUGUGUUUUUAGGUACUAACCCUACCAUUGUCCUGACUAAUAAAACCAGUGGUAAUUACAAGGAUGUGGAAGGACGUUUGGGAACCAAUCGAGUAUUUCCAGUGGAGAAUUACACUGAGGACAGACAGCUGGCAACACGAGAGAAACACACAGAUAUAUUGAACAUCAUAAAAAGUGUCUUGGAUGAUGUCAAAUUCAGCUUGGAACAUGGAAGUGACCCAGAAGAAGAACGCACCAAGCACAUUAAAUUCCUAAUGAGCAUGGCACAUCGUAUUUUUUUGGCCAAGGAACUGGAAAAGAAGGAGGAAGAGGACAGGCAAAAAGAGAAAGAAAAGCCACCUCCUACUUUGUUUACAAGAAUUGUGAAUGUUAUAUUUUUUUGGAGAAAUUAAGCACAAAAAUAUAUUAUUCAUUUGAACAUGAUGUUCUUGUAUGCACAACUGUUGACACAAUUUGCUAUGCAUGUAAUCAAUUUAAUCCGCAAUAAUUCCUGUAAUUAGUGUGUCACAUAAAAUGAGAGGUUUCAUGAUCUGUUGAUAUAACGACAUUGAGCUAUGUAUUGGUCAGUGUCACUUAGUGAUAACUCUUCCAACAAUUACAAAUAAUCUUUAGUGUUCUGUGCACAAUUUGUACACAAUAGGCACGAUGAGCAUUAUCUAGACAAUACAUUAACAUUUUACAAAUGAAAUAAAAAUGCAGUAGGUUGAUUGGUGACAAUCUUGAUUGCUUAGCAGAAGCUUUAAUACUCCGCACUGUGAUGUUUAAAAUUGGACAGAUUGAGCUCAGCUACGAG
Molecule: non-coding RNA, 1002 nt
Organism: Pelobates cultripes (western spadefoot toad)
Lineage: Eukaryota; Metazoa; Chordata; Amphibia; Anura; Pelobatidae
Source: the annotation of a GenBank genome assembly